This 608-nucleotide ribosomal RNA is filed under the name uncultured bacterium. Its description in RNAcentral is "bacterial SSU rRNA". The stretch from base 1 to 518 matches the Rfam family "Bacterial small subunit ribosomal RNA", at positions 338 to 873 of the family's 1533-position model. The record is from RNAcentral.
CCUACGGGAGGCAGCAGUGGGGAAUCUUGCGCAAUGGGCGAAAGCCUGACGCAGCAACGCCGCGUGCGGGAUGAAGGCCCUCGGGUUGUAAACCGCUUUCAGCAGGGACGAAGAUGACGGUACCUGCAGAAGAAGCCCCGGCCAACUACGUGCCAGCAGCCGCGGUAACACGUAGGGGGCGAGCGUUGUCCGGAUUUAUUGGGCGUAAAGAGCUCGUAGGCGGUUCCGUCAGUCGGGUGUGAAAACUCUGGGCUCAACCCAGAGACGCCACCCGAUACUGCGGUGACUAGAGUCCGGUAGGGGAGUGCGGAAUUCCUGGUGUAGCGGUGAAAUGCGCAGAUAUCAGGAGGAACACCAACGGCGAAGGCAGCACUCUGGGCCGGUACUGACGCUGAGGAGCGAAAGCGCGGGGAGCGAACAGGAUUAGAUACCCUGGUAGUCCACGCCGUAAACGUUGGGCACUAGGUGUGGGACCUUUCCAACGGGUUCCGUGCCGCAGCUACGCAUAAGUGCCCGCCGUCGGGAGGUACGGCCGCGAACGGACGUAAACUACAAAGGAAGUUAGACGGCGUGAGACGUCGCCGAACGGACGACGACGAGGGAGUAGG